UACAGAGGGGGCAAGCGUUGUUCGGAAUUACUGGGCGUAAAGGGCGCGUAGGCGGCCCGCUAAGUCGAGCGUGAAAUCCCCGGGCUCAACCCGGGAACUGCGUCCGAUACUGGCAGGCUUGAAUCCGGGAGAGGGAUGCGGAAUUCCAGGUGUAGCGGUGAAAUGCGUAGAUAUCUGGAGGAACACCGGUGGCGAAGGCGGCAUCCUGGACCGGCAUUGACGCUGAGGCGCGAAAGCCAGGGGAGCAAACGGG
This 253-nucleotide ribosomal RNA is filed under the name uncultured bacterium. RNAcentral's name for it is "partial 16S ribosomal RNA". It matches the Rfam family "Bacterial small subunit ribosomal RNA", at positions 524 to 776 of the family's 1533-position model. The record is from RNAcentral.